AGCUUUCGGUGAUAAUUCAUCAAUUGUCUGGGUGUGCCAGAUUCUCGCUGCAAGAAUUGAACAUAAGAGGAAAUCAAAUCAAUGGUACGCUUUCUGACCUUUCAAUAUUCUCUGCCUUGAAAACAUUGGAUCUUUCACGAAAUCAAUUAAAUGGAAAAAUUCCAGAGAGUACCAAAUUGCCAUCUCUGUUGGAGUCUUUGUCAAUUGGAUCAAACUCUUUAGAAGGUGGAAUUCCCAAAUCAUUUGGGAAUGCAUGUGCUUUGCGCUCAUUGGACAUGUCUAAUAAUAGCUUGAGUGAAGAGUUUCCAAUGAUAAUCCAUCACUUGUCUGGAUGUGCUAGAUAUUCAUUGGAAAAAUUAGAUCUAGGCAUGAAUCAAAUCAAUGGCACACUACCAGACCUCUCAAUAUUCUCAUCUUUAAAAAAAUUAUAUCUUGACGGAAACAAGUUAAAUGGAGAGAUUCCUAAAGAUUAUAAAUUUCCACCUCAACUGGAGCAACUAGAUAUGCAAUCAAAUUCCUUAAAGGGUGUGCUCACUGACUAUCAUUUCGCUAAUAUGUCAAAGUUAAACUACUUGGAGUUAUCUGACAACUCUUUAGUGACCUUGGCAUUUAGCCAAAAUUGGGUCCCACCAUUUCAGUUGACGUACAUAGGAUUGCGAUCGUGCAAGCUAGGUCCAGUAUUUCCCAAAUGGUUGGAGACACAAAAUCAAUUUGAGUAUAUUGACAUUUCAAAUGCUGGAAUAGCAGAUAUGGUUCCAAAGUGGUUUUGGGCUAAUUUAGCAUUCCGAGAAUCGAUUUCAAUGAAUAUUUCAUACAAUAAUCUCCAUGGUAUAAUUCCUAAUUUUCCAACAAAGAAUAUUCAAUAUUCUCUAAUUCUUGGACCAAAUCAAUUUGAUGGCCCUGUUCCACCAUUUCUGCGAGGUUCCCUAUUUCUUGAUUUAUCCAAAAAUCAAUUCUCAGAUUCUCUUUCAUUUUUAUGUGCUAAUGGUACAGUUGAAACUUUGUACGAAUUAGACCUUUCAAAUAAUCAUUUCUCUGGAAAAAUUCCGGACUGUUGGAGCCAUUUCAAGUCAUUAACUUAUUUGGACUUAAGUCACAAUAAUUUUUCAGGAAGGAUACCCAAAUCCAUGGGAUCUCUUCUUCAGCUUCAAGCAUUGCUAUUGAGAAACAACAACUUAACAGAUAAGAUACCUUUCUCCUUGAGGAGUUGCAAAAAGCUAGUAAUGCUAGAUAUUGCAGAAAACAGAUUAUCAGGGCUUAUCCCUGCUUGGAUUGGGAGCGAAUUACAAGUGUUGCAAUUUUUAUGUUUGGGAAGAAAUAAUUUCCAUGGAAGUUUACCAUUGCAAAUUUGCUACCUAAGUGACAUUCAACUCUUGGAUGUAUCACUAAACAGCAUGUCUGGGCAAAUUCCUAAAUGCAUAAAAUAUUUUACUUCAAUGACUCAAAAGACAUCUUCACAAGGUCAUUCAUAUUAUGUCAAUACCAAUCUCUUGGUUGGUAAUCAAACAUAUUAUUUGAAUGCAUUCUUGAUGUGGAAAGGUUCAGAACAAAUGUUCAAAAAUAAUGGGUUACUACUUCUAAAAAGCAUUGAUCUCUCAAGCAAUCACUUUUCUGGAGAAAUUCCACUGGAAAUAGAGAAUUUAUUUGGAUUGGUUUCAUUGAAUUUAUCAAGAAACCAUUUGACCGGAGCGAUUCCUUCAAAUAUUGGAAAGUUAACAUCACUUGACUUUCUUGAUUUGUCAAGAAACCAUCUUGUUGGUUCAAUUCCAUGGAGUCUUACUCAAAUUGAUCGACUCGGCGUGUUAGAUUUGUCACAUAACAAUCUAUCUGGAGAAAUUCCAACUGGUACACAAUUACAGAGUUUCAAUGCCUCAUGUUAUGAAGAUAAUCUUGAUCUUUGUGGACCGCCACUAGAGAAAUUGUGUAUUGAUGGGAAGCCUGCACAGGAACCAAUUGUUAAACUUCCUGAAGAUGAAAAAUUGCUCUUCACCCGUGAAUUUUACAUGAGUAUGGCAAUUGGAUUUGUUAUAAGCUUAUGGGGCGUCUUUGGCUCAAUCUUAAUAAAGCGUUCUUGGAGACAUGCUUAUUUCAAGUUCAUAAGCAAUUUAUCAGACGCUAUUUAUGUCAUGGUAGCAGUGAAAGUUUCCAAGUGGCGUCACAGAGGAUAGCUGGUAAUAAUAUUUUAGUCUUCGUAUAUAUACUUCAUUUUCCUUUAUAUGAUAAAUAGCAGUCACAAACCAUUGUUUACAACUAGAUGGCGUUUUUCUCUUUUGUUUUAACCUUUAGAUCCUCAAUUAAUAAAAAAAACAAUUAUUCAUCAACACGAACCUUAGUUUACUAUUACACCGUAGGUAAACAAGUUGUGGAUAGGAACAAAAUAUACUCAAAUUUUGUUGUGAGCAAGUGAGGAUUUUUUGUUUUCACUUUUAAUACAAAAAUGUUACUGCGUCCUAUUCUCAAAAAUUUGAAUGAGUGAAAACGAUGUUCUCAAAAAAGAUUCCAAAAAGGUCACAAUUUAUUAUUCAAAAACAGAGGAUCUAGUGAAAAUAAUGUUGUCAUUGGAUAUUUCUGGUAACAAGUUUAGUGAAGAACUGACAGUGAUAUUCAAUAACUUGUCUGAGUGUCCUAGAUACUCAUAGCAAGAACUGAAUCUAGGUUGGAAUAAAAUCCACGGCAUACUGCCUGAAUUCUUCACUAAAAGAAGACUAGCUAGAACAUAUAUGAUAUAUCUUUGAAUGAACUAGUUUAAUAUAUUUAAUUUUAUUUAUUUUCAUGUCAUUUCGGGGUAUUAGUUAAAUAAAUUAAAGGAAUGAUGAUUGUUAUGUAGGUUAUAAAACUUCUUUACACUAACAUUUCAUAUUAAACAAAUUAAUAUAAUUUAACCUAUUUUCUAAUCGCUAAAUAAUAACUCAAUAUAAAUUAUAUAUUUUUUUUCUUGAUAUAUCUUUUUCCUCGUAAGUUAUUAAAUAGAAAAUAAGUUUGAGGUAGUUUUUCUAUCUCAUUUUCUACAUCUUUAUAUAGCUUUUAGUCAUGGUGGUUUUCUUGGCAUUUCAAUUUUUUCUUUAUUCUUUUAUUACUUCUAGUUGAGGACAAAUUUUGAAGGAUCGAUAUUUUAAUUUUUGACAGAAAAAUUCUGAAUUCUAGGUGCCAGCUUGUGGAGGUGGAAAAUGCAAAGAGAUAGUUUUGGAGGUGAGAAGGCAUCUCUCACAGUUGGAUUUGGAGACUGAGAGAGAAUUAAGGAAGGCUUCUAGAGCUUGAGGGAGCCAAUUGUGAUUGUGAUCUAGUUUAUUUUCCUUUUUAAUUUCUAAGCAUUUUGUUGUAACUUUAGCCCUUAAAUCUGAACUGGUUGUUUUGUAUGAAGUUGAUGAAUCUUCACAAUAAUGAGAAUUGAGAUGUUUGGUUAUUGUUUCUUGAUUUUUGGGUCAUGCUCUUUGAUUAUGUAGAAAUAGUAAACUGUGUUUGAUCUAGGAAUUUUGUUGUGCUUUUGUACUUAGUCUCAUGAUUUCAUUUAAGGAAUUAAGUUAUACGAGAUUAAAAGGAUUCAUUGCCAAGGAAUUGAAUGUGAAUUACUGCAGCAAAAACUGAUCUUAAACUGAUCAAAAACUAAUCCUAUGUAAUCUUUAAAAAAUUUGGAUGAAAAGUUUUCAUGAUAAUAAAAUAAAAUAGAGAUAUAAUUAGAGAAAAUAAGUUGUGUAUUAACAAUAUUAAAUUAUUUUAUAUUGUCAUUCAAUUAUAUAUUUAUUAAUGUGAAUAUGAUAAGUUUGUGAAGUUUUAUAAAAAUUAUAUUAAAAUUAGUUAAUAGUAUUAAACUAUAUUUUCAUUAUAUAAUCAUUAAAUUAAUAAUUAUUGAUGUUCAAUACUUAAUCCAAAAAUAUUGGUGAUCUCCAUUAUUACUAUAAAUGUUUUUCUUAUAAACUAUUGUGAUUUUAAUUUAUCAUUAACUUUAUGUUAUUAUUCUUAUUACUUCAAUUUCUAGAAAUUUCUUUUUAUAGGUAUAAGAAUUUUAUUUAUUUUCAUUUACACAUUUUGGAAACUAACAUUCUAUUUUUAUUUUCUUUCCUUCUUUCUUUUUUAUUUUAUUUUAAUUUUCAGUCCCUACACUAGCCCUCUUGGAUGACUCCAAUGUAUUAGCUUUUUAAUGCUUGGAAAAGACAAUAAGUUAGAAAGUAUGAUUGUUUUACAUUUCUUCAGUGUCAAUUGAGAUACUUAUAUCAUGUUUUGAUAUUUUUAACAAGACUCUAGUUUUAUUAGCAUUAUGUUUGUAAUGAAAUAUAAAUUACAAUGUAUUAUAUUAAUAAUUUACCUGCAUCUUUCUCUUAAUCAAAAUUUCGGUUUGACAAAAAUAUUAUUGAGUUAAACAUUUGAUAAGGGCCUCAUUUUUAAUUUUUUAAGAAUAAAAAAAUUAAAAUAUUUCUUCCACAUAUUUUGAAUGAAUGAAUCUAUCAUAAUCAUUUUUUCAUAACUUGACACCAUAUGUUUCAAUUAUAUGGAGAUCACUCCAAUUUUCAAACUAUGUUUUUUAAGAAAGAAACAAUAAUAAUAAUCUAUAUUAUUAAUUAUUAAUCUAUACUAAUAAUAAACAAAAUAUCUUCAUUUGGUAUCCAUAUUACAUUGGAUAAUUUUAACUUUAAAUUAUUUCUUAUUUUGGAAUGUCUUUAAUUUUAAAACCAAGGAAAAUCUCAAGAUUGCAACCACUGCACCUAAAACGAUGUUAUUUUAAAGGCAAAAGUAGAUUUUAUGAAAAUUCACAGUAUUAUGACCACUAUUCAAAAACACAACAUUCAAAUUCUGUAACGGGCCACAGCUACUCUGUAUCACUAUAGUGCACUAUUAGUAACCAAGUUAAAAACAUUUUGAUGCAAUUCAAAUAUGUCCCUUUCAUCAGUGUAACGAUGGAACUUGGUGAUCUAAAAAAAAAAAAACAAUGGAACUAAGUAUUAUAUUUUGCUCCUUUUCAUCAAUCAAAAUAUAACCCAAAGAAAAUGCUGAAGUUACAUAACCCGAGGAUAGAAUGCAGGAUUUCUAAAAACUCCUUACAUGACUCCUUAUGAUCAUUUUAAAGUGUUAAGAGCGGGGAGAUGUCUGAACAAGUAUAAUUGUGAAAAGUUAAUAUUGUGACUACUCAUUUGAUGUAAUCAUAGAUGAAGGUGCGUCAUUUAGAAACUAGGAACCUGAACUAAUGUGUUAAUUAUAUAGGAUGGGGAAAUUUGAAUAGAUCAAACAGAAAUUCUGAAUAUUACUAAUCAUGGAUCUGUGAACUAAGUCAUUUCAUGCUUCAUUUCAUGCAUAAUAUGUGCUUGUAAAGUGAAACAAGAAAUUCUUGUUAUUCCAUACCAUUCAUGUUAUUUAGAAGCCCAUUUUUUUGCUUCGAGUCUGAAACUGCUACACGCAAACAGUUCAAUACAAAGAAAAUAAAAAUAUACUCAAAUUGAGAAACCAAAGCUCUAAUGUGAGUGGAAAUCAUGCCUUUGAUGGUGAUUCACUAGAGCUGGCAGCAGGGGUAUCAUUCCCCUGAUUGAGAUGUAAGUGCCUCUAGCGUCUUGGGAAAUUCUGUGGAGAGGAACAAAAUAUACUCAAAUUUUGUUGUGAGCAAGUGAGGAUUUUUUGUUUUCACUUUUACAACAAAAAUGUUACUGCGUCCUAUUCUCAAAAAUUUGAAUGAGUGAAAACGAUGUUCUAAAAAAAGAUUCCAAAAAGGUCACAAUUUAUUAUUCAAAAACAGAGGAUCUAGUGAAAACAAUGUUGUCAUUGGAUAUUUCUGGUAACAAGUUUAGUGAAGAACUGACAGUGAUAUUCAAUAACUUGUCUGAGUGUCCUAGAUACUCAUAGCAAGAACUGAAUCUAGGUUGGAAUAAAAUCCACGGCAUACUGCCUGAAUUCUUAAUGUUUUUUGAAGUUGGAAACAUUGGUCCUAUCAGGGAAUCAAUUAAAGGGUGGAGUUCCAAAAUCACUUCAAAAUGCAAGUUAUUUGCUCUCACUGAUGCUAUCCAAUAUCAGUUUGAGUGGAGAUCCUCCACUGAUAAUCCAUAACUUAUCUAGAUAUAUUGGAUACUCAUUGGAAGAAUUAGAUUUGGGCAUGAAUCAAAUGGCACUCUUCCAAACACUCUCUCAGUGUUCCCAUCUUUAAGAAGAUUGUACCUUUACAGGAACAAGCUAAAUGGGACAAUUUCUGAAGAUGUUGGAUUUCCAGCUCGCCUAGAACAACUAGAUUUGAGUUCAAACGCUUUAUCUGAUAACUCAUUGGCUCUGGAAUUUAGCCAAAACUGGGACCCAUGUUUUCAAUUGAAUUAGAUAGGAUUGAGAUCUUGCAAGUUAGGUCAGACAUUUCCCAAAGGACUUUAGCUAUCUUGAAUCAAAUCAAUUUGAUGGUCCCAUUCCACCACUUUUACGAGGUUUCAUAUUUCUUGAUUUAUUCCAUAACAAAAGAUGAACAUCCCUGUAUAAAAAAAUGAAUAAGAAUAAUUUUAUUACAUUUCUGAAAUAUAGAUUAAAUUGUUUAUAAAAUAUUAAUUUCUAAUUAAUAGUCAAUAAUGAUAGGAUGCUUGAAUGUGCAUAUAUAUAUAUAUAUAUUCGAGGAAAGAUCUCCAAUCUAAAUCUUGAUAUUUUCUUAUCUCAAAAUGUCUUUUAAAACUACAAAUCAUUUAUGAUUAUAUUAAUAACGUAAGAUUAUCAUUUUUGGAUAAAUGAUUUGUUUAAAAAGUAUAUAAUGCGUUGAAAGAAUUUUAUUAUUAUUAACUUCAAUUACUAGAGUUUUAAAAUGACAUCCAUUAAUAUUAAUAUAUUUAAUUUUAUAUCAUUUCGUAUUAGUUAAAUAAAUGUAAUAAACAAUGAUGGUAAUAAAACUUAAGUAGCGGAGUAGGCUAUACAACUUUUACUUAUUUUCUGAUCGCAAAACUAUAUUUUUCUUCCUUUUUUAUAUAUCAUUUUUCUCCUUGGAAGUUAUUUAGUUUCAAAUUGAGCAUAAGUUUGAGGGGUAGUUUUUCUAUCUCAUUGUCUAUUUCUUAAGCUUUUAGUCUUUAUAAUUUUCUUGGGAUUUCAUAUUUUCUUCAUUCUCUUAUUAUAUCUAUUUAAGGAACACUUUUGAAGGAUAUCUUAAUUUUUGGGAGAAAAAAUCUGGAUUAUAGGUGCCAGCUUGUUGAUGUGGAAAAAUGCAAAGAGAUCUCUCACGGUUGGAUUUGGAGAGAGAAUAAAGGAAGCCUUUUCUAGAUUUAUUAUUUUCUUUAAAAGUGGAUGACUAAGGGAUCUUAUGUCUUAUAUAUUUUGAGUUAAUAAUGGGUUGCUAAUUUUCGGGCUUGAGGGAGCCAAUUGGAAUUGUGAUCUAGUUAUUUUUGGAUGAUAUUAAAAAGGUUCAUUGUCAAGGAAUUGAACUUGAACUACUUUAGCCAAAAAUGAUCUUAGAUUCAAGCACAGUUGUUUGGAUUAGGUGGAAGUUAGGUGGUUACUUAAACAAUCCCUAAAAUCAAAACAUAACCUUCCUUCAUCAUUUGCGAAAGAAUUUAAAUCAGUUGACUAAAUUUCUAGCUAAUUCAUUUUAAUUUCUUUUUAAUAUCUAACUUCAUUACAAAUUUAAAUUCAGAGUUUCUUUCAAUUCUAAUAGCAUUCAACUAGUUCGAUUUAAAGAAAAAUAAUUUCAGUUGCACAACUGUAAAAGCAGUACAGUUUAAAGACAAUUCAAUUUACAAAAUUCUACUGUCAUAUAUAAUACAGCACACCUAAAAUGUUUGGUGUAAAAUAUUCCCACUUCCUACAAAGCCAUUGCAUCUUCCAAAACCAUGCAUGACAUAACAUGAAUCCCCUAAUACAGGUGCUCAUUUGUUUGUAGACAACUCAAACGAAAACCAAGAACCCAUUCCAAAACAUAGUGCAUAAUGAUCUACACGUCCUUUAGAGAAUAGAUGCAUGUUGCAGAACUUGUGCUUUUCUGGCAUGGGAAUCAUGGUAUCUCUGUGACAUUUGGGAUAUAGUGAGACAUUUAGGCAUGCUUUGAGUUCAACAUCUCUGGUGAAGGACUCCUUCCUUUGUUGAAACGUAUCAUUGAAGAUGAAUUGUAACAAAUCCAAUAAUAAAGUAGCAUUCCACAAUCUAAAGGAAGUGAGUCAGCUAUUGUUAUCACUGCUUUAACUCAUUCAUUACGGAUCCUUCUGACGCAAAACUUGCAUCCACCUGCAUAUACGUAAGUUCAUGUAGAUGGGAAAAGAUAUUCUAUUGCAAAUAACACUUUCCUUCUUCCACUCGUGUGAUAUUUAGUAUGAAAUCUUUGGUUACAAGUUACCAUUUUAAGUGGAAAAAAAAUGGAUCAGAUGACCCUAGUGCCAUAUAUCUAUUACCGUAUUCAAUUGAACCAACGUUUUUAAAUUUCUAGAUUUUAAAAAUCCACUUUUGACUAGUUCAUGCAGUAUUGUACAAAUGCCCAAAUCAAGUACUCCAUAUCCAUUUGAAUGAAAUUUAAAGUUCACCCUACCUGACUCUUAGCCUGUCUCAUGUCUUCCAUGUUUAAAGGCCUCGCUUUAAUUUCUUGUUCUUCCUUGUCUUUAUUGUUUGAAGCAUCUUCGGAGCUUUGGCCUUCUGCUUCUCUUUGCUUCUUUUCCUAACAUAUUGCAACAUAUAUUUAGUUAGAUCUUCAGCUCAUACCAAUGUUUGCAUGGAUGGAGAUGUCAAACUUAAAAGAGUAGAAGAAGUUGUUUAAUAGCUAGCAUGUCUUUCAUUCUCUUCCUCAUGGCCUCAUGCUCUCCUAUUCUAGUCCUCUGUCCAAUCAUACUAUCAACCUUACCAGGCAGUGUGAACAGAGCUCCAAUGUUUUUUUCAUCCUCUCCAAAGCAUUUUGAUGUGAAUGAAGGUUGACAUUGAGACAUUAAUGAAACUUGAACACUAGCUUCAUUUGCAAUUGCCUUUGCUAGCAUUUUUUUCCAGUACCAGGAGGCCCAAAAAGCAAUAUAGCUCUGUUUGAAUUUGGGUCGCUGAUUUAUUGAUCACCAUUUAUAUGCUCUGAAUCAACUAUGUUUAAGUAGACAAGAAGCAUAGAAAAGUGCAAACGACAUUUGUUCCAUCAUCUAAAAGAGGGAGACGCUCUAAUCUCAAAUAUAAUGCUAUGUUUAACCAGAAAACUAAUAUGAAUGAUAACAAAUCAACAAUAAGUGUUACGUGCACAUAAUUAGCACUAGGUAACAUUUGUAUAACAACAUAAGCCAUCUUUUGAUUACAAAAAGUACACAUUAAAGUAUGAUAUCAGGAAAACACCACACAUUUAUCAGGAAAGAUGCAUCAUUCAUCUCCUGCAGCUGCCCUGUUUCCAACCCAAGAUACUGAUAUUAAAAAAAUGCAACAAUCUAUUUAUAAUAUAUAAUUUCUGAGAUGUGCAACAAUAGGAUUACACAUCAUUACUAUAUUUUUUCGCCUCAUGCUUAAUUAGUAAGAAUCAUUAGAAGCUAAAAAUAAAUUUUAAAAAAGCUGAAUUUCAUACCCUGCUGCGUGCAAUAGUUCAACGUAGAAUUAAGCCUUUAAAUAGUACCCCCUACUAAGUGUUCGAAUUUGUUGCUGUCAUAACUGAGGAUGUUGAAACCUGAUUUGGCUUCAGAUAAAAGAAAGAAGCUUGAUGGUUUUACCAUAUUCAUCAAUGGAGAAACUGAGGAUAUGAAGGAAGCAAACAUGGGGAAAAGGGACCUGUAAUCUUUAGAAUCAGAGCUGAAGUAUGAUUUUCUGAAGAUUUUAGCAUGGCAUAGUGCCUUUUUGACAAGCUCUGGUAUAAUUCGUAUUCCUAGGGAAAUGUAUUCAAUUGAUUUUCAUUCAUUUUUUUGUAUUCAUGACUAUAUUUAUCCUAAGGAAUUCUAGAAGUAGAGGAGUUGUUCAAUACUUCAGAUUCAUGGCACAGUAAGAAUGGUUUUUCUUUUUUAUUUUCUCGCUAAACUGUUUUUCUAUAUAAAAAAUUGGGUACUUAGCUACUUCCCCAAUACUUUUUCUUAUUUUCUCUCUCAUUUUUUUGGUUAUUAUUUGUUCCAUUUUUUCUGGCGUGCCAUUACAUUGCAGUGGCUAUAUCUUUUUAAAAACUGUAAGCACUUCAACCAUAUAAGUGUUUGUCUUUGCUAAACCCCAAUGACCGGUGUUGUAAAGUUAUUAAAGAGACCAACAUGCCCUGUUGAUUCAGGAAUCUCUCACAAAAGUUGGAUAUGUAGCUACUUCCUCAAUACUUUUUCUUUGAUUUCUCUUAUUUUCUAUGAUUUCAUAAUUUAAAAUCACAUUUUACUACUUCCUUAUUUCUUAUUAGCUAUGACUUCAUCACUUAUUUUUGCUCGACAGUUCUACAGAGGAGACCUUUUGUUGAACAAAAUUAUUGCACUUUGCACCAGGGAACAGAGAGGAUUAGGCGCAAUCCCCCUUUCUUAUUAGGCGCUAUGACUUCAUCACUUAUACUCAUUAAUCAAAUUAUUACUAAGUACAUUAAGUUCUUCGAAAUCUCCUUCAGAUAUUUAUUGAGUUUCUGGUAACUUAUACUAUAUAGGUUAAUGUAUGACUAGUCAAUGUUCACUAUACCAACAUUUAUGCUUAUAUUCGAUUCAUAGAUCAAAUUAUUAUUAAGCAGAUUGAGUUAUUCAAAAUCUACAUAAGAUAUUCAUUGAGUUCCUCAUAACUUAGUAUUAGACAAAUCAGUGUAUGACUAGUCAAUGCUUAGUGUACUAAUAUUUAUACUUGUAUUCAAACCAUUGAUCAAAUUGCUAUUAAGAAUAUUGAGUUUUUUAAAAUCUCCAUCAAAUAUUUAUUAAGUUUCUCGUAACUUGUAUUGAACAGGUUAGUGUAUGACUAGUCAACACUCAAUGUACCAAUAUUUAUAUUUGUAUUCAAUUCAUUGACCAAAUUACUACUAAAUAUAUUGAGCACUUGAAAAUCUUUGUCAAAUAUUUGUGGAGUUUCUCCUAUUCAGGAUUAGACAUAUCAAUGUUUGACCAAAAUAGUUGAGCUAGUGCAUCAAAAUUUGUGCCUAUAUUUAGUUUUAUCUUUUGGUAAAAAUUUUGGGGCAAGAUUAACUAAUGAGUAAGCUAUAUGUAUGCUUAAUUGUUUCCCUUAAUUUACUAUGGAACUUGUUAUAACUAAUAAUUUCUCUAUUAUUUGAUUUAACAAUUAUUCAUGAUAGUAACAUUUUGUUUAUGUCUAACACCAUUUUGAUUUUAUUUUUCAUUUGACUUGCUUUUUUUUCAUCUAUAAGUAUCAAAGAUAAGUACCAAGAGAUUUAUAAUAAUUCACGCAUCCGACUUAAUGAACUAAGAUAGACUCUCUCAAUAACUACCUUGAUUUCAAUAUUUUGUUCAUGCUUAAGAUUUUUUCGUUAAAAAAUAGCCAUAAUAAUUCUCUAUGCUCACACCUAAUAAUUUUUUUUUGCAUUAUAAUAUUUUAAUUUUAAAUCAAAUUAAUCUUAUUUUUACUUUUUUUUAUCCAAACCUCGUAAUUUUGGAAGGGGUAUAAUUGAUGUAGUGACGCCUGCCUUUUAUAAGAAAGGUCUUAUUGUGAAACAUGUGUGAAUAUUUAAACUGGUUUUCAAUUUUCAAAUAUAAUUUUCAAAAAAACACACAUUCAACAAAAUUGGAUCUAAAAUAAUUUUUAACUCAAUUUCAAAAUGAUAUUAAUGUAAUUUUUACUAUUCUAUCCUACUACCGUCGUCACUAUCAUCAUCACAUUUUUAUCACCACUUCCACCAUCAUCGUCACCAUCAUUCCACCGCAUCACCAUUGUCAUCAUCACUUGGAUCCUGCUACUUUCAUCGGCACCAUUAUUUUAUAGUGGAGCAAAAUAAGGUAAAAUAAUUGAUUCAUUUUAUUUAUUUUCAAUUUACAACAUCAUUUUAAAAACUAAAAACAAAGAAUAAACCGAAAUUCAAAACUAAAGCUGGUUUUAAUUUUAAAAAAUUUUAAAACUAAAACCGAGAAACUCAAUAAUGAAAAUUUAGCUCUAGAAAAGAUAAAUUGAUUUAAAUAGGGUCAUGACAAAAUUUUGCUAGCUUCUAUUUUAGUCUGCUUUGCUUUAGAAUAUUUACAUUCAAAUAACUCUUUUAUAACAAAACAAAAAAUAAAAAAACUAUUUAUUGAUUCUACAUAUAAAAAGAUUAAGUAUGCUAUUUUUUCGGACAAAAUUAUGGUGUGUUUGAUGAUGAUGUUGCAGGUUGUUUGUGCUGAAGAGGAAAUAAUGUGCAUUGAGAGGGAGAGGGAAGCACUCCUCCAAUUCAAGGCUGCCCUUCUGGAUCGCUAUGGCAUGCUCUCUUCUUCGCUGCAGCAACCUCACCUCCCAUAAUCUAAUGCUCGACCUUCACAAUUAAUGGAACUAUAAGUAUUAUAUUUUUCUCCUUUUCAUCAAUCAAAACAUAACCCAAAGAAAAUGUUGAAGUUACAUAGCCUGAGGAUAGAAUGCAGGAUUUCUAACAAACUCAUGACAUGACUCCUUAUGAUCAUUUUAAAGUGUUAAGAGCGGGGAGAUGUUAAGAUAGACGUAUCCCUGACCUAAUCAUAGAUGAAGGUUUGUCAUUCAGAAACUAGGAACAUGAACUACUAAUCCGUCAAAUUAUAUAAUUCUAAGAGAGUUACAUAAAUCCUUAUGCGUUGAUCUAAUUUUAAUCUAAUAAUUAUAAUUAAAAAAUUUACUCAAUCACGUGCCUCUGAUUCCAGCCUCCCUCAUCCCCACCGUCAUAAAAUUCUUUGUUCAAAACCUUGAUUGGUUGCCACGCAUCUCCCUCUGUCGUUCUCAAGGUUCCCAUAUUUUGCAUAUUUUCGAUUAUUGGUUCUUUACAAUUCAUAUAUAUUUUUCUCUCAUUUUUUUUAUGAUUCACAGCCGUCCACCUCCGUCUACCACUUACUUUCUCUUUUGGAGAUUCGUCCCCUAUCUUUCUUUUUUACAAUUUCUGUCUGGUUUUCAUUGGCACACCUACUUCUUGUGCAAGAGUUUAGCCAUUUUUGAAUGAAUUAAAGCUUAUUAACGUAAGGGAUCAAAAGAAUGAAUUACAUAAAACUAAUAAAAGGCCUUCUCCACAGCUGAAUUUUAAUUGGUAUGUGCUAUUUAUAUCAAUCUAACUCCAUUCUCUUAAUUUGAUUCCUCUCAAUUCAAGGUUAUUUUUAUGCUCUCACAAUUCAAGGUAGCAUCUUCACAAGCAAGUAUGCUUCAUCAAUUAACAAUUUUAAGGAAUAAUUAAGUUUUAGUCCUUUAUUUUUUUUAAAAAAAUUUAGAUUUUAGUUCUUAAAUAAAUAUUUAACUUGUCAAAUUCCUCAAAAUUUUGUUUAGUUACGACUUUUAGUUCCUGUCAUAUGAUGAAGUGGUGUCCUGGGAAACUGGCACCUGUCAUUUUUCCCAUUAUUAUUUUGUGAAGUUGAUAUGCUUGCAGCUUUUAACAGCUAGAAAUGGCUUCCUCACCCAACCAUGGCUCUGGACUGAUAAAAACAAAACCACUUAUUCGGUGACAAAGAUCCAGAUCAGGACCUCCCUCGUGGCUUUACCUUGUUAAUAUUCACGUUGAUUUUAACAUUCAGGAAAAUUCAUCAUCGCUCUCAAUUUUAUUUUAUUUUUUCUCUCAGCGGACACACCUCUCCAAUUCUCACUACCCUCUCUCAUAAUUUUGGUAGCAGACACAUGUUCAUCAGACGCACAUGCUGCUCUCACAUUCUAGCUAUAUGUAUCAUUUUUAGUAAUUUGACCAAUAUUAUUGAACACCCUUUGAUUUAUAUAUCAUAUCUUGAGAGUGGUAAGAAUAGAGACAAAGAGAUAUUUGAUUGAUGAUAUAAUAAGAAAACAUUAAUGUAAAUAAGCUUUUUGUGUUUUUCAUUUUGGAUUUUUUUUAAAAGUCUUAUUUUAGUGUUUUAUGUUUAGGAGUGAACCAUCUUAAUCCUUUCAUUAAUUUAUCAUUAACACUCUUUAUGUUUUAAAUUUUAAAAUAAUUAAUUUAUGAUAGAUUUUAGUCUACAACAUUUUUUCAAAUUAUAAAUAUAGGACCUACCACUGCUUCCUCCUCCACUUCAAAUAUAUAAAGCAAAAACACAAAAAAUAAUAAUAAUACAAAAACAAAAAUUACCAACUUUGAUCUUAUCCUAAUCUUCCAUAAUCAAUUACACAAAUGAAAUGAUUUUGCACCCCUAGCAAGGGUGCGGGGAGAAAUGGUAUCGGUGGAACAACAUAUUUCUUCUGCCUUAAAGUUGUUUCAAAUACAGAAACAACAUAUAAGAUAAUCAACCCCGACUCCUCCAAGUGGCUUCUCAGUUGUCAAAGCUUGGGUCAACCCUUCCACAAUGACCACUUCAUCCUCAUAAAUUUUAUAUAUAUUUUUUUAUAUUUGUAGUGUCCACUAUUCACCAAAUAACGCACAUGAUAAAAAGUUAUCAAUGUAACAUUUGUAACUUUAUGUUUGUGAUGCUUUAUUCUCCUUGUAUUAUACUUAAGUAUGUAUAUCAAACGCAUUUUUAAAGUACAAGAAAAUUAGCAUUAGUCAUGACUCAAUUUAUAUGUAAUUUAUCAAAAAAUCUCACUAAAAUUUUCAUGACUCAAGUAUUAGUGACAAAAAGAAAAUUUUGUCCCUUAAUGCUUUGACUUUUGUGGCAUUUCUAAUGUAAGAACUCUAUUAUUGAGUUCUUAAUUUUUUAUUAGUGAGUCCUUUGUUUAUGAUCGAGUACUCAGUACUCAUUUUACUCUAAUUAAUGGUAAAACUUAAUUGAUUUCUUAAUUUAUUUUUUUUAGUAGAUUCUAUUUUAUCUUUCCACUCACACAAGAAUAGUCUCUUUUAGUUUCAAAAUUAUUAUUAUUUUUAGUUAAAAAAUCUUGAUUGUAGUUGCUUAUAUAAGAAACUUCUAUACAAACUCCAUUAUAAGAACUUAUUUGUUCUAACAGUAUUCUCAAGUCACUUAAGCUUAAAAACCAACUUAAUUGCAAUUGCAUUGGAGUUGUUCUUAGAAAAAGAAAAUUAAUGAGUUUAAUUUUCAUUCAUAUUAUUGAUGUAAACAAAUAUAUAUUAUCAACCGAUUUCAAACUAUUUUGAAUAUAAUUUGUAAAUAAUUAUAAUAAAAUUUAACAGGUUUAUCAAUGCCCUAUUUAAUAAUCCAUCGUUUGAUUGAUAAUAUAAAAAAGUCUUUACAUUAUUAUUACAUUUUGCUUAAAUUAAAAUAUUAUCGGUGCAAAAAAUUAACUUACAUUAUGUAUGAAAUAUCAAGUUUAAUUUAUUGUUUUAUGUAUUGCGAUGACGGAAUUUUCGUAGGCUAGCUUUUUGGUGUUUUGUCUACAAAGUCGUACAAGGAGCCACCGACUCUAUAAAAAUUUCCACAUUUAUUGUUUUAAAUAAUAUUGUGAUGACAAUGUCUUUUCUAAAUUAAAGGAGCCACGCCGGCCACUUCAUAAAAAUUUCCACAAUUAUUAUCUUAAAUAAUGCGAUGACGGAGGCCAAUUAUCUGUUUUCCAGGGCCAACAAAUUCAUAUAUUCAAGAUGUAGAUAUUCACAAAACAUCAGAAAAUCAACACAAAAUCCAUGACAUCUAUGAAGAUUAAAUUAUUAUCAACAAAAUCCAUGACUUAUACAGACCAUGCAUAUGCAUUGAAUACUACUUAUACAUGCGUAAAAGUUACAUGUUUAGCUUGAUAUCAUCAAGAAAUUUUGUGUGGAUAAUUUUUUUAAAAGAUGUUUAGCUUCAUAGAAAAGGAGGAGCUCUGACAACAAAAAUGAAAGAAAAGAUGAGUCUGUAUGGGUAACAAGUGUGAGUAAAAGAAGCUCUACCAAAAAAAAUGAAUGAAAAAGGUUUAUUAUCUUUUUUAGUUUUUAAUGAAAGAAAAGACGAGUCUGUAUGAAUAAACCUUUUUAUAUUUUUGCUUUUAAUUUUUAAUAAUUGUUUUAGUGUUUUUGGUCAUUCUAAUUUUUCUCUGUUACCAGUUUUGGUCUUUAUUAACAAGUAACAAUUACUUAAAUAGCUUAUAAAUUAAAAUAAGCUAACUAAUAAGUUAUUAAUUUGUUUUUUCUUAAUUUUACCCUUUGUAAGAGACUAAAUCCUUUCCCUGUACCUAACUUUUCUUGGUAUUUUUUAAUUUAUAUUUAAUUCACAUAUUACAAAUUAAAAUUAAAAAAUUGUGUUUGAUAUAUAAUAGUUCGUCAUAUUUUUUUACAACAAAAUAAGAAAUAAAUAUAUCAAAUACUUAGAUCUUGCUUGGAAUUUUCUCCAUGGUUCAAUCCCUUCUCAACUUGCAGCAUCUUGAUCUCAGCCUCAAUACUUUUAAGGAAAAUAUACCAUCCCAACUCGGAAAUCUUUCCAAGUUGCAGUAUCUUGAUCUCAGGUACUAUUCUUUUGAAGGAAAUAUAUACCAUCUCAGCUAGGGAAAUAUUCAAGAUUUGAAAUUUUUAAGUAUGCGAAGGAAUCAUUUCAAUGAAUUUUACCACUACAAAUUUGUUAUCUCAGAAGCAUUCAACUCUUGGAUCUCUCACUAAACAACUUGUCCGGACAAAUUCCUAAGUGCAUAAAAUUUUUUGCUUCAAUGGCUCAAAAGAUAUUUUCAAGAGAUUAUCAAGGUCAUUUGUAUAAUGCCAAUGCCAGUAGUUUUUCAGGCGAUUCAUCAUAUUAUUUGAAUGCAUUCUUGAUGUGAAAAGGUUCAGAACAAAUGUUCAAUGAUAAUGGCUUAUCACUAUUAAAAAGUAUUGAUUUGUCGAACAAUCAUUUUUUAGAAGAAACCCCAGUGAAAACAGAGAAUUUAUUUGCAUUGGUCUCAUUAAAUUUAUCAAGAAACAAAUUGACUGGAAAAAUUCCUUCAAAUAUUAGAAACCUAAUUAAGGUCGCUUGAAUUUUUUGAUUUGUUAAGAAACCUGCUAGAUGGUUCAAUUCCUCAAAGUUUUACUCAAAUUAAUCGACUCUUCAUGUUAGAUAUUUCAAGGCAUGCCUUAAGUUCAAUAUUCACUUUUUAGUCGUGAAGUUUACAUGAGUAUGGGCAUUGGGAUUUAUUAUAAGCUUUUGGAUGAUGCUUGGCGGAAUCUUAUUCAAGCGUUCUUGGCAACAUGCCUAUUUCAGGUUCUUGAACAAUUUACGAGACAAUAUUUGUGCCAAGGUAGCAAUGUUCCGUAAUAAAAUAUCAAAGGUAGCUAAAGGUUAGCAUGCAUGUAAUAAUAUUAUAGCCCUUCCAUUUCUUUUGCUUUUCAUAUAGUUUAUGUAAGCAACUUGUCAGAUUUUUUUUUUAUAAAAAAAUAUAACUAUAAAUAAAAGCAGCUUUCUUCGUAUUUUUUUUUAUCGUUAUUAUGCAAUGAUCUCUAGUAAAUUGUUUAUAAAAUAUUAAUUGGUAACUUAUAUUUAAUAACUGAUAAAGUAAUAUUAUAUAGUGAAUUGUAACGGUAAGAUUUGAUGACUUUUAACUAUUUUUAGUAUAAUUAAUUUUGAAGAAGAAUAUGAUAAUUUCAAGUCAGAACAUAUUGAGAGAGAUACUAAUUUUGCAAUACAGUGGUUAACUUGUUUUCGUAACAAUAAAAUAAAUGAGAUUUAUUGUGAAGAACAAUUAAACGUGUAAAUGUAGCAUGCUAAAUAAUCAGGAUAAUGAUUUCUUGCUCGUUGGAAUGUUGGGUGCAUCUAGUGUUUAUAAUAAUAAUUAUUAUUAUUAUUUUAAAGUGUAGUUUUUUGUUUUCAUAAAUUAGAAAUUUUGUGUUUAUUAGUUUUUUAAUUAUAUAUUUUAAAUGUGAAUGUCAUUGCCUUACGAUAUACGGUCAAGUUUUUUGUAAUUUCUUGACCGGAGACUUUUCCAAGUCUUCCCCACUGAUGAGGUAGUGAAGAAGACCCUUUGGAUACUUGCAAUAAAUUAUGACUGCCCCAACUGUUGAGAAAGUGCCUUCCAUUAACCAUCCCGGUGUUAUAUAUAUGCAUGCCUAUUACCACUGCUAAACUCACCAAUAUCAUUCUAAUUCUCAUAUUCAGUGGAUUCAUUUCAUCAAUCACUUUGCCUUUCUGAUCAUAACCACCAAAAUGCCAACCAUUGAUCCUGUUCGUUUCAAAUUCAUGGAAGGCAUAAUAACAUUUAUGAUGAUGAUGUUGCAGGUUGUUUGUGCUGAAGAGGAAAUAAUGUGCAUUGAGAGGGAGAGGGAAGCACUCCUCCAAUUCAAGGCUGCACUUGUGGAUCCCUAUGGCAUGCUCUCUUCUUGGACCACUUCUGAUUGCUGCCAAUGGAAAGGGAUUCGCUGCACCAACCUCACCGGCCACUUCUGAUAUGCCUUCAAUCGUUUCACUGGAAUUGCCUCGCACCGUUAUAUCAGAGGAGAGAUCCACAAGUCGUUGAUGGAGUUGCAACAAUUAAACUAUUUAAACCUCAGUUCGAAUUCUUUUCAAGGCAGAGGAAUCCCAGAGUUUCUUGGUUCUCUCACCAACUUGAGAUACCUUGAUCUGUCAUUUUCUCAUUUUGGCGGAAAAAUUCCAACUCAGUUUGGCUCUCUUUCUCAUUUGAAAUACUUAAAUCUUGCUGGGAAUUAUUAUCUGGAGGGUUCAAUCCCACGUCAACUUGGAAAUCUCUCCCAGUUGCAGCAUCUUGAUCUCAGGGCCAAUCAAUUUGAAGGAAAUAUACCCUCUCAAAUUGGAAAUCUCUCCCAGUUGCAGCAUCUUGAUCUCAGCUACAAUUCUUUUGAAGGAAGUAUACCGUCCCAACUUGGGAACCUUUCAAAUUUGCAGAAGCUUUAUCUUGGAGGUCGUGCUCUCAAAAUUGACGAUGGAGAUCAUUGGCUGUCUAAUCUCAUUUCCUUAACCCAUCUUUCCUUCGACUCCAUAUCUAAUCUCAACACUUCUCAUAGCUUCCUCCAAAUGAUUGCCAAGCUACCAAAACUUAGAGAACUGAGUUUAAUUCAUUGUAGCCUUUCCGAUCAUUUUAUCCUUUCAUUGAGGCCCUCCAAAUUCAAUUUUUCUAGUUCCCUUUCCGUCCUUGAUCUUUCCUGGAACAGCUUCACGUCAUCAAUGAUACUCCAGUGGCUGUCCAACGUCACUUCCAACCUUGUUGAGCUUGACCUUAGUCAUAACCUCUUGGAGGGUUCCACAUCAAACCAUUUUGGCCGUGUAAUGAAUUCUCUUGAGCACCUCGACCUCUCAUAUAAUAUAUUCAAGGGUGAGGAUUUGAAAUCCUUCGCGAAUAUAUGCACCUUACAUUCUUUAUACAUGCCAGCAAAUCUUUUGACUGAAGACCUUCCAUCAAUCCUUCCUUGAUAAUUUGUCUAGUGGUUGUGUUAAACACUCAUUACAAGAAUUGGAUUUCACAUCUAAUCAAAUUACUGGCUCUUUACCCGACCUUUCAGUAUUCUCAUCUCUAAGAUCAUUGUUUCUUGAUGGAAAUAAAUUAAGUGGAAAGAUACCUGAAGGCAUCCGCUUACCGUUUCAUUUGAAAUCUCUGUCAAUCCAAUACAACUCUUUAGAAGGUGGAAUUCCCAAAUCAUUUGGGAACUCAUGUGCUUUGAGCUCACUGGAUAUGUCUGCUAACAAUUUGAAUAAAGAGCUUUCGGUGAUAAUUCAUCAAUUGUCUGGGUGUGCCAGAUUCUCGCUGCAAGAAUUGAACAUAGAAGCAAAUCAAAUCAAUGGUACGCUUUCUGACCUUUCAAUAUUCUCUGCCUUGAAAACAUUGGAUCUUUCAAUAAAUCAAUUAAAUGGAAAAAUUCCAGAGAGUACCAAAUUGCCAUCUCUGUUAGAAUCUUUGUCAAUUGGAUCAAACUCUUUAGAAGGCGGAAUUCCAAAAUCAUUUGGGGAUGCAUGUGCUUUGCGCUCGUUGGACAUGUCUUAUAAUAGCUUGAGUGAAGAAUUUCCAAUGAUAAUCCAUCACUUGUCUGGAUGUGCUAGAUAUUCAUUGGAACAAUUAUCUCUAAGCAUGAACCAAAUCAACGGCACACUACCCGACCUCUCAAUAUUCUCAUCUUUAAGAGAAUUAUAUCUUUAUGGAAACAAGCUAAAUGGAGAGAUUCCUAAAGAUAUUAAAUUUCCACCUCAACUGGAGCAACUAGAUAUGCAAUCAAAUUCCUUAAAGGGUGUGCUCACUGACUAUCAUUUUGCUAAUAUGUCUAAGUUAGACAUCCUGGAGUUAUCUGAGAACUCUUUAUUGGCCUUGGCAUUUAGCCAAAAUUGGGUCCCACCAUUUCAAUUGAGCUACUUAGGAUUGCGAUCUUGCAAGCUAGGUCCAGUAUUUCCCAAAUGGUUGGAGACACAAAAUCAAUUUCGGGAUAUUGACAUUUCAAAUGCUGGAAUAGCAGAUAUGGUUCCAAAGUGGUUUUGGGCUAAUUUAGCAUUCCGAGAAUUUAUUUCAAUGAAUAUUUCAUACAAUAAUCUCCAUGGUAUAAUUCCUAAUUUUCCAACAAAGAAUAUUCAAUAUUCCCUAAUUCUUGGACCAAAUCAAUUUGAUGGCCCUGUUCCACCAUUUCUGCGAGGUUCCGUAUUUCUUGAUUUAUCCAAAAAUCAAUUCUCAGAUUCUCUUUCAUUUUUAUGUGCUAAUGGUACAGUUGAAACUUUGUACGAAUUAGACCUUUCAAAUAAUCAUUUCUCUGGAAAAAUUCCGGACUGUUGGAGCCAUUUCAAGCCAUUAACUUAUUUGGACUUAAGUCACAAUAAUUUUUCAGGAAGGAUACCCACAUCCAUGGGAUCUCUUCUUCAUCUUCAAGCAUUGCUAUUGAGAAACAACAACUUAACAGAUGAGAUACCUUUCUCCUUGAGGAAUUGCACAAAUCUAGUAAUGCUAGAUAUUUCAGAAAACAGAUUAUCAGGGCUUAUCCCUGCUUGGAUAGGGAGCGAAUUACAAGAGUUGCAAUUUUUAAGUUUGGGAAGAAAUAAUUUCCAUGGAAGUUUACCAUUGCAAAUUUGCUACCUAAGUGACAUUCAACUCUUGGAUGUCUCACUAAACAGCAUGUCUGGGCAGAUUCCUAAAUGCAUCAAAAAUUUUACUUCAAUGACUCAAAAGACAUCUUCAAGAGAUUAUCAAGGUCAUUCAUAUCUUGUCAAUAUCAUUGGCAUGUCUGGUAGUUAUACAUAUGAUUUGAAUGCACUCUUGAUGUGGAAAGGUUCAGAACAAAUGUUCAAAAAUAAUGUGUUACUACUUUUAAAAAGCAUUGAUCUCUCAAGCAAUCACUUUUCUGGAGAAAUUCCACUGGAAAUAGAGAAUUUAUUUGGAUUGGUUUCAUUGAAUUUAUCAAGAAACCAUUUGACCGGAAAGAUUCCUUCAAAUAUUGGAAAGUUAACAUCACUUGACUUUCUUGAUUUGUCAAGAAACCAUCUAGUUGGUUCAAUUCCUUUGAGUCUUACUCAAAUUGAUCGACUGGGCAUGUUAGAUUUGUCACAUAACAAUCUAUCUGGAGAAAUUCCAACUGGUACACAAUUACAGAGUUUCAAUGCCUCAUGUUAUGAAGAUAAUCUUGAUCUUUGUGGACCGCCACUGGAGAAAUUGUGUAUUGAUGGGAAGCCUGCACAGGAACCAAUUGUUAAACUUCCUGAAGAUGAAAAUUUGCUUUUCACCCGUGAAUUUUACAUGAGUAUGGCAAUUGGAUUUGUUAUAAGCUUUUGGGGCGUUUUUGGCUCAAUCUUAAUAAAUCGUUCUUGGAGACAUGCUUAUUUCAAGUUCAUAAGCAAUUUCUCAGAUGCUAUUUAUGUCAUGGCAGCCGUGAAAGUUUUCAAGUGGCAUCACAGAGGAUAGCUGGUAAUAAUAUUUUAGUCUUCAUAUAUAUACUUCAUUUUCCUUUAUAUGAUAAAUAUAUAGCAGUCACAGACCUUAGUUUACAACUAGAUGACGUUUUUCUCUUUUGUUUUGACCUUUAGACCCUCAAUUAAUAAAAAAACAAGUAUUCAUCAACACGAACCUUAGUUUACUAUCACACUGCAGGUAAACAACUUGUAGUUCGGUUAAUAUAUGAUAUAUAUAUAUAUAUAUAUAUAUAUAUCUUUUAAUGAACUAGUUUUAACUAAAGAUGAACAAGCAGUUAUAUAAUAAUGAAAAAGAAAAGUUGAAAAAGAAAAGUAAUAUAAUCAAUUUUUGAUAAAUGUUUUUCUAAAAAGUAUAUAAUAAGUUCAAAGAGUCUAAUUACUAAUUAGUAUUAACUUCAAUGUGUUGGAGUUUUACAUGGGCAUCUAUUAAUAUUAAUAUAUUUAUCUUUAUACCAUUUCAUAUUAGUUAAAUAAAUUAAAGAAAUGAUUAUUAAUAUUGUUAUAUUAAAUUUAGUAGGUUAUAAAACUUCUUUACACUAACAUUUCAUAUUAAACAAAUCAAAAUACUUUUACCUAUUUUCUAAUCCCAAAAUAAUAGCUAUAUACAGAUAAAGUAUAUUUUUUUUCUUGAUAUAUAUUUUUUCUCCUUAUAAAUACUUUUACCUAUUUUCAAUCUCAUGUUCUACUUUUUGAUAUAGCUUUUAGUGUUGGUAAUUUUCUUGGCAUUCCAAUUUUUUCUCUAUUCUUUUAUUAUUUCUAGUUGAAGACAAAUUUUGAAGGAUCCAUAUUUUAAUUUUUGGCAGAAAAAUUCUGAAUUGUAGGUGCCAGCUUGUUGAGGUGGAAAAUGCAAAGAGACACUUUUAAUUUGGAGGUGAGAAGGCAUCUCUCACAAUUGGAUUUGGAGACCGAGAGAGAAUUAAGGAAGGCUUCUAGAGCUUGAGGGAGCCAAUUGUGAUUGUGAUCCAUCUAGUUUAUUUUCCUUUUUAAUUUCUAAGCAUUUUGUUUGUAGUUUGGUCUUUAAAUCUGAACUGGUUGUUUUGUAUGAAGUUGAUGAAUCUUCAUAAUAAUGGGAACUGAGAGGUUUGGUUAUUGCUUCUUGAUUUUUGGGUCAUACUCUUUGAUUACGUAGAAAUAGAAAACCGUGUUUGAUCUAGGGAUUUUGUUGUGCUUUUGUACAUUAGUCUCAUGAUUUCAUUUAAGGAAUUAAGUUAUAUGAGAUUAAAAGGAUUCAUUGCCAAGGAAUUGAAUGUGAAUUACCGCAGCAAAAACUGAUCUUAAACUUGGGCAAAGUUGUUUGGACUAGGUGGAAAUUGGGUUGUUACUUAAACAAUCCGUAAAAUCAAAACUUAACAGUGACAGGUGUGAGCACUAUGUCCCUUCUUGGAGCAGAGUUGGCAAAUAGUGUUGGAGUAGGAAGAGAUAAGAUGAUUGCCAGAUGGGUAAUGCUCAUGACGCUUGAGAUACAUCUCAUAGUUCUGCAAUUUAACAAAUACCUCAUCAAAAGAGGGCAAGGUGUUUUGCCAAUGACGUAGCCUUCAAGGUCACGAAUAAGCUUAGACUGAUACCAUAUAGAGAAUGAAUAAGUUGUUUAGAGAAGAUGACGAUCCACACGUCCUUUAGAGAAGAUGUGUGUGGUAGACUUGUGCUUUUCUGGGAAUCAUGAUAUCCCUGUGACAUUUGGGAUAUAGUGAGACCGUAUAAAACACUUAUGUCUAAAUUCGGGAACAACAAAUUCUAUCUUGAUAAUUGUAAAUUUUGAGUUUAAUUGAUAGUUAAUUUUAACUAAAAAUUUUUAGAAUUUUUUUAUUUUAAUAUUGUUGUGUUUAUUGAAAUAAUAAGGAAUUUAAUAUUAUAUUAAUUUUUUUACCAGCAGAAUUUAAUAUCAUGUAAUAUCAUGUAGUAACUAUUACUGCUACACUAUAUUUUAGUCAUGGUAGCAGUGAAAGUUUUCAAGUGGCGUCACAGAGGAUAGCUGGUAAUAAUAUUUUAGUCUUCGUAUAUAUACUUCAUUUUCCUUUAUAUGAUAAAUAGCAGUCACAAACCUUAGUUUACAACUAGAUGGCGUUUUUCUCUUUUGUUUUAACCUUGAGACCCUCGAUUAAUAAAAAAAAUAAUUAUUCAUCAACACGAAACUUAGUUUACUAUCACACCUAAGGUAAACAAGUUGUAGUCCGGUUUUCUUCUUAAAAGAAGACUAGCUAGAACAUGUAUGAUAUAUCUUUGAACGAACUAGUUUUAACUAAAGAUGAACAAGCAGUUACAUAAUAAUGAAAAAGAAAAGUAGAACAUGCAUGCAUGUUUGUUUUGCAUUUCCGAAAUCCAGAUUAGAUUGUUUAUAAAAUACUAAUUUUUAAUUUAAUAUUCAAUAAUCAUAUGAUGCUUGAAAAUAUAUAUUAAAUGAGUUGUACAUACACAUUCGAGGAAUCUAAAUCUUGAUAUUUUAAAUAUUCUUAUCUCAAAAUGUCUUUUAAUAUGAUUACAAAUCAUCUUUUGGAAUUUUGUUAAUCCCGUAAUAUAAUCAAUUUUUGAUAAAUGUUUUUCUAAAAAGCAUAUAAUAAUUUCAAAUAGUUCAACGUAUUGGAUUUUUACAUGGGAUCUAUUAAAAUUAAUAUAUUUAAUUUUAUUUAUUUUCAUACCAUUUCGUAUUAGUUAAAUAAAUUAAAGGAAUGAUGAUUGUUAUGUAGGUUAUAAAACUUCUUUACACUAAUAUUUCAUAUUAAACAAAUUAUAAUACUUUAACCUAUUUUAUAAUCGCUAAAUAAUAACUCAAUAUAAAUAACGUAUAUUUUUUUUCUUGAUAUAUGCUUUUCCUCCUUGUAAGUUAUUAAGUUUAAAAUAGAGAAUAAGUUUGAGGUAGUUUUUCUAUCUCAUUAUCUACUUCUUUAUAUAGCUUUUAGUCAUGGUGAUUUUCUUGGCAUUUCAAUUUUUUCUUUAUUCUUUUAUUACUUCUAGUUGAGGGCAAAUGUUGAAGGAUCGAUAUUUUAAUUUUUGGCAGAAAAAUUCUGAAUUCUAGGUGCCAGCUUGUGGAGGUGGAAAAUGCAAAGAGAUACUUUUGGAGGUGAGAAGGCAUCUCUCACAGUUGGAUUUGGAGACCGAGAGAGAAUUAAGGAAGGCUUCUAGAGCUUGAGGGAGCCAAUUGUGAUAGUGAUCUAGUUUAUUUUCCUUUUUAAUUUCUAAGCAUUUUGUUUGUACUUUAGCCCUUAAAACUGAACUAGUUGUUUUGUAUGAAGUUGAUGAAUCUUCACAAUAAUGAGAAUUGAGAUGUUUGGUUAUUGUUUCUUGAUUUUUGGGUCAUGCUCUUUGAUUAUGUAGAAAUAGUAAACCGUGUUUGAUCUAGGGAUUUUGAUGUGCUUUUGUACAUUAGUCUCAUGAUUUCAUUUAAGGAAAUAAGUUAUAUGAGAUUAAAAGGAUUCAUUGCCAAGGAAUUGAAUGUGAAUUACUGCAGCAAAAACUGAUCUUAAACUUGGGCAAAGAUGUUUGGAGUAGGAAGAGCUAUGAUGCUUGCCAGAUGGGUAAUGCUAACUGCACCCUCUGGUAGAGUGGUGUGAGCAGCGGUGAUUGGCAAAGUUGGCACUGAUGGAGGAGUGGUGAUUGAAGUGCUCAUCACGCAAUCAGAAAUAUCCUAACAUCAAAUAUGCCUUUAUUCCACUGCCCACGCAUCUUCUAGAAGACACGAGGCUAUCAUAUGGUUUGCGCUUUUACUACGUAUGGUGCAUGUAUGCAUGAUGCAUGAUGCAUGAUGCCAACCAUGCUGUACGUUCCUUCCUCUUGGACCUUUGGUGCUUACUUCCUGCAGACCCCCCUGUGUCAUUCGUACCCCCUGGUGAAAUCCGUAUCAAUGUCCUUCAUUCUCUCCUGCUGUAUUAGCUCUCUAACAGGUCGAUAAGCCGCAGUGAUGCACAAAUUCUGUUCACAGAAAUUAACAUCAAUUUAUUUUCCCAAAAAAAAUAAAACCAGUAAAUCGCCCCCAAAAUUCACCUUAAGAUCACUUCCAGUAUAUCCUUCUGUCAUGGUUGCCAGCUCUUUGAAGUCUAAGUUUUCAUGUUUUUCUUUAGCCAAAAGAGUCUUCAAGAUCAUUUCCCUGUUCUCAACAGAUGGAAGACCAACCAAGAUCCUGCUCAACAAUAAAAAGGUGAGUGUUAUGAUUCACAAGUUACAAGAGCAAUAAUAGUUGAACUAAAAAGCAUUAAAUAUUGAUGUUGCACAGUUGAAAACACUUGAUUUUAUUGUAUCCAUAAAAGACAUCUGACAGACUCAAUUUGUGAACAAUUUAAAUGCCAAAUUAAGAGGCAAGAACUGUUGCUAAAAGAGUUAAGGCAAGCUACAGAAAGAUAUCUGUCUUCAAGGGGGGGCAUAUGGUAUUGUCAGCUAUAUAGAAAAUAAGAAUAGACACCUCAAAAGGAAAUUGAUGAAAUGACCACUUGUUAUGAAUUUUCUUGUUUUCUUAUGGUCAAACAUAUGCUCAUCAUAAUGAUGGAGAAAUGCAGUCUUUGUUCUGAUUGCAAAAAUGUUGUUGCUGAAUAGAAGCAACACAUGAUCAUGCAAACAAUAAGACAAAGGUGUGGUCCUACCUUCUCUCAAACCGUCUUAUGAUAGCUUCAUCAAGGUCAAAUGGCCUGUUGGUUGCUGCAAGAACCAAAAUUUGCUCAUUAGGUCCUGUUAAUAGCCCAUCCCAGUGUGUCAUGAAUUCAUUUUUAAUCUUCCUCAUAGCCUCAUGCUCUCCUACUCUAGUCCUCUGUCCAAGCAUGCUGUCAACCUCGUCAACAAAGAUAAUUGUUGGGGCAACCUUAGCUGCCAGUGUGAACAGAGCUCGGACAUUCUUUUCAUCCUCUCCAAACCAUUUUGAUGUGAUGGUUGACAUUGAGACAUUAAUGAAACUUGCCUUCCUGGAACAGACUCAAUCCCACUACUCCAAGCAUACCUCGUUAGAUUCAUUAGUCUUCAGAUUCCCACUACUCUUGCCUUCCUGGAACAGACUCAAUCCAUGGGACAAGCUGUUCACAUCCAAGAUCAGUAACUAGAAAAUCUGGUCACGUAAUUGAUGGUGUCUUUACAUAGCCAUUGGACAAGUAUUUACCUAUUUGCUGAUAUAACUAGCUUUCCAUUUCCAGUUCGUUUGAAAUUAAUGGUGUGUGUAUAGUAAUUUGUUUAUAUAUAUAUAUAUAUAUAUAUAUAUAUAUAUAUAUAUAUAUAUAUAUAUAUUAAAAGAGAUAUUAUUUUUGUGAUACAAUGGCUAAGUUGUUUUCAUAAAUUAUAAAAGAAAUUUAAGAUUUAUUACCCAUUAAUAACUAAAUGUGCAAAUGUAGCAUGCUCAUUAUGUAGGGUCACGAUUUCUUGCUUGGUUGAGUGGUCGGGUGAUCUAGUGUUCAUAUUCAAUACUUUAUUUCAAUAAAACUAUGUCCUAUGUAAUCUUUUAAAAUUUGGAUGAAAAGUUUUGAUGAUAAUAAAAUAAAAUAGAGAUAUAAUUAGAGAAAAUAAAUUGUGUACUAACAAUGUUAAAUUAUUUUAUACAUGUCAUUCAUUUAUUUAGUGAUGUGUAUAUGAUAAGUUUGUGAAGUUUUACAAAAGUUAUAUUAAAAUUAAUUAAUAAUAUAAAACUAAAUAUUCAAUACUUAAUCAUAAAACAUUGAUGAUCUUCAUUAUUACUAUAAAUUUUUUUCUUAUAAAUUAUUGUGAUUUUAAUCUAUCGUUAACUUUAUGUUAUUAUUCUUCUUACUUCAAUUUCAACAAAUUUCUUUUUAUAGGUAUAAGAAUUUUAUUUAUUUUUCAUUUACACAUUUUGGAAACUAACAUUCUGUUUUUUUUUUUUUUAAUUUUCAGUCUCUUGAAGACACUAGUCCUCUUGCAUGACCCCAAUGUCUAAGCUUGUUAUUGCUUGGAAAAGGCAAUAAGUUGGAAAUUAUGAUUGUUUUAUAUUUUUUCAGUAUCAAUUGAGAUACUUAUAUCAUGUUUCGAUAAUUUUAAAAAGACUCUAGUUAAUUUUAAAAAGACUCUAGUUUUAUUAGCAUUAUGCUUGUAAUAAAAUAUAAAUUACAAUGUAUUAUAUCAAUAAUUUGUGCAUAUUUCUCUUAAUCAAAAUUUUGGUUUUGACAAAAACAGUAUUGAGCUAAACAUUUUGCCAAGGGCCUCAUUUUCAAUAUUUUAAGAAUAAAAAAAUUAGAAAAUUCCAUGCACAUAUUUUGUAUGAAUGAAUCUAUCAUCAUCAUUUUGUCAUAAUUAGACAAAUAAUUUGACACCAUAUGUUUCAAUUAUAUGGAGAUGGCUCCAAUUUUCAAACUAUGCAUGUCUUUUAUUUUAAGAAAGAAACAAUAAUAAUAAUAUAUAUUAUUAAUUAUUAAUCUAUACUAAUAAUAAACAAAAUAUCUCAAUUUGGUAUCCAUAUUAAAUUAGAUAAUUUUACCUUUAAAUCAUUUUUUAAAUUUUAAAAAAUUUCUUCUAACCUACUAUAACUUUCCACUACUAUAUUAUUAAUAUUUUUUUAUUCUCACGUUUUUUAUUAAAUAUAUUUAAUUUUUAUCUUUUUAAAUUUUUUUUCUUAUUUUUUAAAAUUUAGAAAGACGUGAUCUAUCCUUUAGUUCUUAAUUUAAGAAUACCCUUUUAGUGUCCAUAAAUUUUAGACGAUUAUAUUCUUUAUUAAUUAGUCAACUUCUGUUAUCCUCUCCUAAUAACUAUCCACCACUCUUAUGUUAGUUAUUCUAUCCACCACGAUUAUUUUCAUCAAUCAAAAUAUAACCCAAAGAAAAUGCUGAAGUUACAUAACCCGAUGAUAGAAUGCAGGAUCUCUAACAAACUCCUGAUAUGACUCCUUAUGAUCAUUUUAAAGGGUUAAGGGCGGGGAAAUGUCUGAAGUAGUAUAAUUGUGAAAAGUUAAUAUUGUGACUACACAUUUGAUGUUGUGAUAGAUGUAUCCCUGACCUAAUCAUAGAUGAAGUUAGAUUUACAAAAUUCGAUUGAUGUUGCACAUCUGGAUAAGCAGUACAGUUUAAAGACAAUUCGAUUUACAAAAUUCUAUUGUCAUAUAUAAUACAGCAUACCUAAAAUGUUUGGAGUAAUAUAUUCCUACUUCCUACAAAGCCAUUGCAUCUUCCAAAACCAUGCAUGACAUAACAUAAAUUCUCUAAUACUGGUGCUCAUUGGUUUGUAGACAACUCAAACCAAAACCGAGAACCCAUUCCUAAACAUAAUGCAUGAUGAUCUACACGUCCUUUAGAGAAUAGAUGUGUGUCGCAGAACUUGUGCUUUUCUGGGAAUCAUGAUAUCUCUGCGACAUUUGGGUUAUAGUGGGACAUCUAGGCAUGCUUUGAGUUCAACAUCUCUGGUGAAGGACUCCUUCCUUUGUUGAAAUGUAUCAUUGAAGAUGAAUGGUCGCAAAUCCAAUAAUAAAAUUUCUAGGUUUUAAAAAUCCACUUUUAACUAGUUCAUUUUAGUCCUCUCCGAACCAUUUUAAUGUGAAUGAUGGUUGACAUUGAGACAUUAAUGAAACUUGCACAGCAGCUUCAUUUGCAAUUGGCUUUGCCAGCAUUUUAUUUGCAGUACCAGGAGGCCCAAAAAGCAAUAUACCUCUACAUGGCUUUAUAUUAGAAGCAUUACCAACUCUUGAAGUGAUUAUUUGAUCUCAUCCAAUGCACCAACAUCUGCAAGUCUAACCCCUAUUUCGUUUUCAUGGAUAAGCUCUGGUCUUAUACGCUUCUCAAACUCGUUGUCACUUGUCAAGAACUUCCUGCAAGCAAGCAAUUACUAUAUAUAAGUUUAAGUAGACAAGAAGCACAGAAAAGUGCAAACUACAAUUGUUCCAUCAUCUAAAAGAGGGUGACGCUCUAAUCUGAAAUAUAGUGCUAUGUUUAACCAGAAAACUAAUAUGAAUGAUAACAAAUCAACAAUAAGUGUUACGUGCACGGUGCACAUAAUAAGCACUAGGUAACAUUUGUAUAACAAAAUAAGCUAUCUUUGAUCACAAAAAGUACAAAUUAAAGUGUGCUAUCAAAUUCAUUGUUUGAUCUACUUCAGAAAAAAAAUCACGAACUUAUCAGGAAAGAUGCAUCACUCAUGUUGCCGAUUCAUUUCAUUUCAUUGAUGAGCUUCUUUGUCGCCGAUGAGAUCCUUAGAAUUUUGUUGUUGAUGUUUGUUGCGCUAUCAUUUCAUUUCGUUUUUAGUUUAUCAUCACCUUCCUCGUUGCAUUUUCAUUUUUUUAACUCUGCCAUCGCCCCACCGCCGUGCAGCUGUGCUGCCUUCGCCCCGCCGCCAGGCCCCUGUGCAAGAAGCGUCAGGGCCCGCGCCACCCUCCAUCGUGGUACCCACCUUUUCUGUGCCCUUUUGAGGCUUAGGCACCAAGGGUUUUCAAACCCUUGUGCUUACUUUCGGGUUGGGCCGGGUCAUUUUAACUUCUAAUCUAAGCCCAAUAAAAAAAGCCGAAAAAAGAAAAAAAAUGUUGAACGGCUUAGUUUAUUAAGUCUGAAACAAAAACAAAAGUUAUUUACACCCUAUUUUUACACAUACACCUUCUUUUAUUUUGGACCUAGUUCAUUUUUGAGAAGCCUAAAAGAAAAGAAAUACUGCUAGCCAUACACAACUCUUUUUGCACAUACACCCUCUUUCAUUUCGGCUUAACUCAUUUGCUUAAAUCUGAAAUAAAAUAAAUAUCGCUGCCUUUACACAUACACCCCUUGCAUUUUGGGCCUAGUCUGUUUUCAAGAAGUCUUAGAUAAAAUAAAUAUUGCUAGCUACACCCCUUUCUCCAUGUAUGCUUCUCAAUGUAUGCAAUUUGACUUUGACCCUAAAUUAAUAAAUGAAUGAUAAUAAUAAUAAUAAUAAUAAUAAUAAUAAUAAUAAUAAAUUGAUAGAAAACUCUUUAUUUUUAUUUAAUUUUUCUAAUUGUCUCUAUUAUUUAUCUUAUUCGUCAAUUUGAUUGUUUCUUCAUUCCCCAAUUAGUUAGUUUAAGUUAUAAUGUGCUCUAAAUAUCCCGCUACAUAUAUUAUUUUCCCCCACAUUUCAACCCCGUAACCUUAAUUACUUAGUAUAUUUUUCACUUUUAUUCUAUCUUUUUCUAUUCUCAUUCGAUUUAUUUGAUUAGUUAACACUGUUAUUCAUUUAUUUUUGCAAUUUUGCAUUAGUAUUCAUUGGUAUGCACUUACGUUUUGUACACUACAUGUUGAGUCUCUGAUUUGCUUGAUAGUAUUUCAAUAAAAUAUGAGUAAAUUUAGUAAAUGUCAUGACUUUACAAAGUUUACAGCAAACCCAACAUCUUUUCUAAAGAGGAAAAAGAAUACUCAAAUAAAUAAUCAAUCAAUUUAUCUUUUUUAUGUUUUGUGCACCUCAUGUUGGAUUUUCGACUUACUUGAUGAUGUUUUAAUAACAUGUGAGUAAAUUUUGCUAAUGUCGUGCAAAGUCUCCAACUUUCUUGACUUCCUAACGUUUAUCACAACCAAAAUCUUUUCUAGAAAAGGGAGUAAAAAUAUUCAAAUAAAUAAACAUUCAAUUCUUUUUUUUCUCAAUGAAUAUUACACAUUACUCGAGAUUGUUUCAAUGCCUUAAGUGAUUCUCUCUAUUAUUUUUUUGAAAUUUAAUAUUAUUUCAAGGUCCAAUACUUUAAUGAUUCUUAUUCACACAAUUAAAUACAAAUCAUUCAAAAGAAGAUAAAAUCAACCAACACACAAGUUAUUUUUUUUUACCCAAAGAACUAUAUAAGUAUGAUUUCCUCAUUACACCUGGGGAUAUGUAUAAGUGAGGGAAAACCCCUUGUUGACCUAAAACACUAGGAAAUAAAAACAUAAAAUUUCUUCUUUACUAAAAAUAAAGAAUUUCUUUCUUUUUUUAAAUUAAACAAAAUAUAACAAACAUAAUUCAUGUUCUCAAGGGAAGAUAAAUACUUAAGAAGUUGCUUUUAUUUUUAUUAGAGUGAAUUAAAGGUUGUUAUCAUUAUGACAGAUACGUGAGGUGUUAAUACCUUUCACGUACAUAAAUAACUCCUGAAUCCUUUUUUUUACCAAAUUGUAAAUCAUUCCUUUUUUUUUUCCGAUGUUUUUCUUAAAUAAACAUUGAUAGCGAUUCUCAAAUUUUCUUUUGAAAAACUCACUCAACCGCCGCAUUGUGACAAUGACAAUAUUAUUUACAAAAGAAAUUAUAGUAAUAAUAUGUAGUGGAAAACACAAAUCAUAUUUCUUUUUUUAAAAAAAGAGAAUAAAUUCAUAUUUCUUGUUUUCAGUGUUACUUACAAAAAUGUUACUUUUGAUUCCUAUUCUCAAAAUUUCAAAUAAGAGGGGAAAAAGUUGUAAAAAAAUAUACCAAAAAAGUUAUAAUUUUUUAUUCAAAAAAGAUAAGAUGUUACUUUCAUGUUUGGUUUGGUUUAAAAUAAAAAUUAUGAAACUUAAAACUACAACUUAUAACUGAUUAUCAAGAAAUAACAAUAGGUUUGGGCAAUAGGCUGAUGCAUCAGUAAUAAAAAGCUAACAACUACCAAAUUCUAAUUCAGGAUGUAAACAAAACUCAACCUGAAUUGGAUUAGAAUAAAAAAUACCAAAACUAAAGUAAUUAAAAUCCUCGUUCAAGUAUACAGUAUACACAUCUAGAGAAACAACACCAAAGUUUCAAGAUACAACCAUUAAGUUAAUUCCGGUUCAAGUUGUCAUUUCAGCAAACACUAUAAUUUUCAAAAGCAAAAACAAUUCUCCCUAAUUACCACCAAGUUUGGUUGGCGACAAACCAUAUAAGUUUGAAUGGUUAAAGACUUAGGAUUUUCUUUGGUGCAAGAUAUGAAGAUCAAUAAAUAUUAUCUGGAUUACGAAUUAUAUACUAUGGCAGAUUUAAUAAUAAAAUAGUCUUAUCAUUCUUAUAAUUAAAAGAAAAAAAUAUGUUAUCUUUUAUUUUUUUAUAUAAGACCAUACGUAGGUAGUAUAUUAUACAGAACUUACAUAAGCACCACUUUUGUUGACACAGAAUUCCUUCAAAAGAAAUUAUCAAUCAAAAUCAAUGAAUUAGUAAUAGUCUGUAUAUUACGUUAGCAAAAUAUAGACAAAGGUCAAUGUGGGUAUCUUGCGAAUUUUCUAAGUCUUUUUGUUUUGUUCCCAAGUAUAUGGGUCAUGUCAAAAAAGAUAAGACGUUUUCCUUAAAUAAACAUUGAUGACGACUUCUCAAUUUUCUUUUGAAAAACUCACUUGACCGCCACAUUGGGACAAUGACAAUAUUAUUUACAAAAGAAAUUAUAAUAAUAAUAAUAAUAUGUUGUGGAAAACAUAAAUCAUAUUUCUUUUUUUUAAAGAAAAUAAAUUCAUAUUUCUUGUUUUCAGUGUUACUUACAAAAAUGUUACUUUUGAGUCCUAUUCUCAAAAUUUUAAAUAAGAGAAAAAUGUUGUAAAAAAGUAUACCAAAAAAGUUAUAAUUUUUUAUUCAAAAAAGAUAAGAUGUUACUUCCAUGUUUGGUUUGGUUUAAAAUAAAAAUUAUGAAACUUAAAAACUGAUUAUCAAGAAAUAACAAUAGGUUUGGGGAGUAGGCUCAUGCAUCGAUCAGUAAUAAAGAAAAAGCCAACACCUAUCAAAUUCUAAUUCAGAAUGUAAACAAAACUAAACCUGGAUUGGAUUAGAAAAAAAAAUACUCAAACUAAAGUAAAAUCGUCGUUCAAGUAUAUAGUAUACACAUUUAGAGAAACAACACCAAAGUUUCAAGAUACAACCAUUAAGUUAGUUCCGGUUCAAGUUGUCAUUUCAGCAAACACUAUAAUUUUCAAAAGCAAAAACAAUUCUCCCUAAUUACCAUUACCAAGUUUGGUUGGUGACAAACCUUAUAAGUUUGAAUGGUUUAAGACUUAGGAUUUUUUUCUGUGCAAGAUAUCAAGAUCAAUAAAUAUUGUCUGAAUUAUGAAUUAUAUACUAUCACAGAUUUAAUAAUAAAGUAGUCUUAUCAUUCUUAUAAUUAAAAGAAAAAAAUAUGUUAUCUUUUAUUUUUUAUAUAAAAGACCGUACGUAGGUAGUAUAUUAUACAGAACUUACAUAAGCACCACUUUUGUUGACACAGAAUUCCUUCAAAAGAAAUUAUCAAUCAAAAUCAAUGAAGUAAUAGUCUGUAUAUUACGUUAGCAAAAUAUAGACAAAGGUCAAUGUGGGUAUCUUGCGAAUUUUCUAAGUCUUUUUGUUUUGUUCCCAAGUACAAAGUCUAUUUAUGGGUCAUGUCACUUCACAAAAUUUUCCACAUUUGUUGUUUAGCGCAAUGACUGGAAUCUUAAAUUCUAAGUCUUUAUGGUUUUGUUUGGUUCCUACAUAGUCAUAUAAAUGGUCAUGUCACUAUAAAAAAAAUUUCACAUCUAUUAUUUUUGUAGGUAGUGCGAUGACUGGAGUAUUUUCUACGUCUUUCUUUGUUUUGUUCCAAUGGAGUCGUGUAAGGACCAUAUUACUUAUAAAAAAAUUUUAUACUUAAUUGUUUUUUAUGUAAUGUGAUGUUGAUUGGAGUGCUUCUUAAGUCUUUCUUUGUUUUGUUUCCGGAAAGUCAUACAAGGGCAUGCCACUUAAUAAAAAUUAAUUUCCAAUUCUCUGUUUGCAAAGUCAAUAAAUUUAUUCUAGAUGAAGAUAUAUAAUCACAGAACAUUUAGGAAAGCUACACAAAUGGAUGAGAAGAUUUAGAAGUUGUUGCGGAAGAUGCUGUAAAGGAAAAUACUUGAGGAAGCUCUGUUAUGAAUUAAAAUUAAAAAUGAGACCAAAUAAAUUCAGACACGACAUAGGCUUCUCUUGGUAUUUUUUAAUUUGUUAAGUAUAAGGAAUACUUUGUAAUUAACAUAUUCUGAAUCCAACAUAUAGCAAAAAUUGAUGAAAUAGAAAAUUCCUCCCUGUGACGUAAUAGAACUGCAAAUGAUGUAACUAUGAUAAGUCUUAUGGCACAAAAUAUUAAUAUGAACACGUACUCAAUUUGUAAUUCCUUAGAGAUUAAGGUGUAUAUAUAUUUCCAAAAAAAAUGUCAAGGUAGGUUAAAAAGAAAAAGAAAGGGGUGUAUAUAUAUUAAGUUUUAAUCUCAAUGAUAUAUUAUUUUUAAUCUUAAACCAAUAUUUUUUAUUUUUUGUUUCAAUUUUAGUCUUCAAACCGAUCUUUCUCUUAAGAUUAUGAUAUGACUCAUCUCCACUCAAACAAAUAAAACACACAAUAGACUUUAUUUUGAAUCUUUCUCCCCACACAGACAGAAAAAAAAAAGGCUCACACCAUUCACAUUUUUACAUGUAUAAUAGAAUAUAGUGGCUUUUUCCAAUUUUUGAAUGUCAUUACUAUUUUUAAGUACGAUAUUCUAUUAGCUAUAUUUUUCAAUCAUAUAUUAUUUUCAUGAAAAUUGAUGAUAUAUUUUUUCAAGUCCUAUUAAUUAAUAAAUUUAUUCUAUAUUUGAUAUUUGAUAUAUUGAUGUAUAGUAAUAAUAAAAUUAUAGCCAAUUAAGAAUUUUAAAAAUUGUAGAAAGUAUUGAUUUUUGGUGUGAAUGGAAUUGUUUUAAUAUAUUGAAUAUUUUAGUUUUUCUCUCAAUAUUCUCUUCUUCCUUUUUUUGAAUAUAUAUAUAUAUAUAUAUAUAUAUAUAUAUAUAUAUAUUCUUCUUCCUUAAGAACAUGAACAUGCUCACUUUAAUAAAAAAAAUUAUUUAUGGGUCUAUUGAUAUCUAGGGCAAAUAGAUUAAUUAACUUUAGAUUUGAAUGCCCUCUUCAAGUAUGAUAUACUUUUUUAAACCUAAUUUUUUCUUCUUCAAUAAGAACAUGGUCACUUUUUCCAACUAAACCCAAUUUGAAUGCCAAUUCAAGCACGGUAUGAUUUUAAUGUCAAUUACAUAUAAUUUGAAGUCCUGCACUUGUUUAGGAUGAUUUGGAUGAAAAUAAAUUGGGAAGAAGUGAAGGAAAAUGAAAUGGAAACUUUUGGUUUAGAUGGGAUGGAAAUUAAAAUGAAGUAAAAAUAAAUUUAUUGGAGUCCAAAAAAAAAAUCCUCAAAAACAGUGGUGAAAUGGAGGAUUAUGUUUGAAGUAAUAUUAAUUUUACGGGAGGAUUCCUAAAUAAUAUAAAAUUCACUCAUUUUUUUCAUUUUUAUUUAUAAAAAAAUAGAUAAAUUUUCCACUUCGUUUCUCUCUUAUUUCUAUCUUUUUUUUUCUCUUUCAUUUUUUUCUAUUUCAUCUCUAAUCCAAAUAAAGUGCAAAAGUAACGGAUGAGUUAAUCUUUUUAAAAGUUUUUUUUUCUUUCAAAGUGCUAUUUUUUGCUUUCAUAAAUUACAAAUUUUGUGCUUAUUAAUUUUCUAAUUAUUUUAAAUAUGAAAUUGCAUUACUAUAUACGAUCAACUUUAUGUGACUUGUUGACUGGAGACUUUUCCAAGUCUCCCUUGAUAUAUAUGGUUUAGAAUGUUACAUUAUUUUUAAGUCUUUUUUAUUUAUUUAUUUGGUUAUAUAUUAAAUUGAAAAAUAAAAAGAAAAGUGGGAACUUAACUAGGAACUGUGCUGUUGUUGUGUGGGAACCUAAGUACAUUUUAGCAUCUUUAAACUGAAAACAAUUUAGUCAAAAUGCGUAACAAAAUAUAGGUCAAGUAAUUAGUGGACAAAAUCUUGCUGUCACCAUAGAUUUAGGUUGUAUUUAGGUCAAUUACUUAAAAUAUUGUUAAUUGAUAGUUGAAACUUUAGAUGAAAUUAAAAAGUUUGAAUUAUUCUAAAAAUAGUUGUGGUAGAAGCAAACAUGACCACAGAAGUCCUAACUAUUAUUUAGACGUGUUAUAGUACCACCAAUACGAGGUCUGAUUGGAAAUUAGCUGUGUGUCGAACCCAUCUCAUAGCGUGCAUGCGUGCUCCAAAUCUCUUUAACAAAUUAAAUACCAAGCUUUUUUUAUCCAAUUUCUUCUUUUUUAUCUUUUGUUUAUCCGUAAGAAUCAAAGAUAAUAACAAAAGAUAUAUAAUAAUUUAUAAAUCUUAUUCAACCAGCUAAACUAAAUCCCCUAGCUAUCCAAAUCCGUUUAACUUUUAAAUAACAAAAUAAAAGUUAUACACACUUUUAUAUUUCAACAUUUUUACCAUUAUUCAUAGUUUUAGUUACUUGUUUAUAUUUUAGAAACGUCAUAAUACUUACGUCUUUUGCUUUUAUAUUUAUAACAUAAAUAUAUAGAAUAUAACAUGUAUAAUAUAAAUAAUAUAAAAAGAGCUGAUAAUUAAAAAAAACGGGAAAGAAAUAAUUAUAAAAUAAACAUAACUAAUCAGACUAUUUGCAUCAAAAGAAAUUAUUUGAAUAUAUUUUACAUACUUGGAAGAAUUUAUGAGUGGCCCAACCGUUGAGAAAUGUGACUUCCAUUAACCAUCCCGAUGUUAUAUAUAUGCAUGCCUAUUGGUAGUGCUAAAGUCAUCAGUAUCAUUCUAAUUCUCAUAUUCAGUGGAUUCAUUUCAUCAAUCACUUUGCCUUUCUGAUCAUAAUCACCAAAAUGCCAACCAUGAAUCCAGUUCGUUUCAAAUACAUGCAAGCCAUAAUAAUAUUUAUGAUGUUGCAGGUUCGUUCAUGUUUUCUCAUUUGAAUGUAUUUGUGAAAAUCGCAAUUCAAAUCUCAUUUGAUUUCAAUGAAUUUCAAUUUCCUUAAAUUUUUAUUCACAGUUUUGUCAUUUUUUUCUUCUUAAAAUAGAUCAUUCUCCUAUGUUUUGUUCAUUGUUUUUUGGGUUCAUAAUGUUUCGGAUUGAAUUAGAGGUUGAAGCACCGUUUGUUUUGCCCCCUUAUUUUUUGUUUUCAAGGUUGAAUCAUGAUAUAUGUAGAUGUUGAACCAUCAAAUAUGAUAGUGGCAACAAGGCAUAAAUAGUGAUGACAAGGAUAAUGACAACAACAAUAAAGACAAAGACAAUAAUAAUAUUACAUUCUAUGUUUAUAAUUAAGUUUUAAUCUCAAUAUAUAUUAUUUUUAAUUUUAAUUCAAUAAUUUCAAUGAUAUAUUAUUUUUAAUCUUAAUUCAAUAAUUUUCAUUUUUCCCAUUUUAACCUUCAAAAUGAUCUUUCUCUUAAGAUUCAAAUAUAAUCCAUUUCGACUUAAACAUACAAUAAAUUUUAUUUUCAAUCUCUCUCCGUACGCACACACAAAAAAGGCUCACACCAUGCAUACACUUUUUUAUGUGUAGAGUAGAAUAUAGUGGCUUUUUUCAAUUUUUGAAUGUCAUUACUCUUUUUAAGUUCUAUUAGCUAUAUUUGUCAAUCAUACAUUAUUUUCAUGACAAAUUGAUGAUAUAUUUUUUCAAGUCAUCCCUUGAAAGUGUCAUAGUAUUAAUUUUUUAUUAUAUUAAGGAGUACAUAUUUUGGUUGAUAUAUAAGACAAAUAUAAAAUUGAUAUUAAGAAAUUUAUUUUAUAUUUGAUAUUUAAUAUAUUGAUGUAUAGGAAUAAUGAAAUUAUAGCCAAUUAAGAAUUUUAAAAAUUAUAGAAAGUAUUGGGUUUUGGUGUGAAUUUAAUUGGAAUUGAAUUGUUUUAAUUUAUUGAAUAUUUUAGUUCUUUUUUCUCAAUAUUCUCUUCUUCCUUUUUUUAAAGCAUAUAUAUAUAUAUAUAUAUAUAUAUAUAUAUAUAUAUAUAUAUAUAUAUAUAUAUAUAUAUAUAUAUAUAUAUAUUUAAUAAUAAAAAAAUCAUUUAUGGGUCUAUUAGUAUCUAGGACAAAUAGAUUAAUUAACUUUAAAUUUGAAUGUCCUCUUCAAGCAUGGUAUAUGUUUUUAAACCCAAUUUCCUCUUCUUCGUUAAGAACAUGGUUACUUUUUUCAACUAAACCUACUUUGAAUGCCACUUCAAGCACGUUAUGAUUUUAAUGUCAAUUACAUAUAAUUUGAAGUCCUCCACUAGGAUCAUUUGGAAGGAAAUAAAUUGGGAAGAAGUGAGGAACUUUUGGUUUAGAUGGACUGAAAAUAAAAUGAAGUAAAACAAAUUUAGUGGGGUAAAAAAAAUGAAAUGGGAACUUUUGAUUUAGAUGGGAUGGAAAUGAAAAUGAAGUAAAAACAAAUUUAGUGGGGUCCAAAAAAAAAUUGAUUCCUCAAAAACAGUGGUAAAAUGGGAGGAUUUUGUGAGAAGCAAUAUUGAUUUUAUGGGAGGAUUCCUAAAAAAAACACUCAUUUUUUUACUAUUUCUAUUUAAACAAUAUAAAUUCUCUACCUUGUUUCUCUUUUAUUUCUAUCUUUUUUUCUCUUUCAUUUUUCUCUAUUUCAUCUCUAAUCCAAACAAAGUGCAAAAGUUACGGAUGAGUAAUCUUUUUAAUUUUUUUAAAAAACUUUUUUUUUGCAACUUCUUGACUGGAGACUUUUCCAAGUCUUCCCUUGAUAUAUAUCGUUUAGAAUGCUACAUUAUUUUUAUUUAAUUGGUUAAAUAUUAAAUUGGAAAAUAAAAGAAAAAUGGGAACAUAGCAGCAAUUGUGCCAUUGUUGUGUAGUGAUAGUCACUUUUACUAAUAUAAUAUAUAUAUAUAUAUAUAUAUAUAUAUAUAUAUAUAUAUAUAUAUAUAUAUACACUACAUUAGUUAAGUACAUUUUAGCAUUUUUAAACUGAAAAUCUUUCGGUCGAAAUGCAUAACAAAAUAUGGGUCAAGUAAUUAGUGCACAAAAUCUUGCUCAUAAUUUUUGCCACCAUAGAUUCAGGUUGUGUUUUGGACGAUUACUUAAAAUAUUGCUAAUUGAUAGUUAAAAUUGUAGAUGAAAUUAUAAAGUUUGAAAGUUGAAAAGUUAAAAACUGAAAGCUAAAAAUAUAUAAGUCAAUGGAUUCAAUUAUAUUUGAAGUAUUUUAUAAUAUUAUCUAAUAAAUAAAUUUUCUCCUAACUUCUCUUUUAAAUAUAUACCAAUUUUAUUGGUUAAUGUUUGUAAAAAAAUAAUAUGAACUAAUAAAAUUGUUACAUAUUUAAAAGAGAAGUUAGGAACAAAAUUUAUUUUAAAAUUAAAAUAAAAAUUCAAUGGCAUUUGGAUGAAAGUUUUCGUUCAAAAAUUUCCCUUAAAAUAAUUAUUUUUCUAAAGUGUUGUAUGCCGAACCCAUUUCAUAGCGACCAUGUUUAUAUGCUUCAAAUCUUUUCAGCAAAUUAAAUACCAAGCUAAGAUUUUUCUUUUAUCCAAUUCUCCCCUUCUUCUCCUUUAUUUUUUUUAUCUAUUGAAAUCAAAGAUAAUAUAAAAAAAUUUAUAUUAAUUUCCAACUAAUUAAAUUAACCCCCUAGACUAUUCAAAUUAUUUUAACUUUUAAAUAACAAAAUAAAAGUUAUACACACAUUUUUAUUAAAAGUAUGAAUAUCUAAAACUUUUUUUUACUGUUAUUUAUUAAAAGUAAAAAAUAAACUCCAGUUGGUUUGAAAUUCAUGGAAGGCAUAAUAAUAUUAAUGAUGUUUCAGGUUGUUGUUUCUGCUCAAGACCAUAUUAUGUGCAUUCAGACUGAGAGGGAAGCACUCCUCCAAUUCAAGGCUGCACUUCUGGAUCCCUAUGGCAUGCUCUCUUCUUGGACCACUUCUGAUUGCUGCCAAUGGCAAGGGAUUCGCUGCACUAACCUCACCGCCCAUGUUCUAAUGCUCGACCUUCACGGUGGUGAGUUUAAUUAUAUGAGCGGAGAGAUCCACAAGUCGUUGAUGGAGUUGCAACAAUUAAAGUAUUUAAACCUCAGUUGGAAUUCUUUUCAAGGCAGAGGAAUCCCAGAGUUUCUUGGUUCUCUCACCAACUUGAGAUACCUUGAUCUGGAAUAUUGUCGUUUUGGCGGAAAAAUUCCAACUCAGUUUGGCUCUCUUUCUCAUUUGAAAUACUUAAAUCUUGCUUUGAAUUCUCUGGAGGGUUCAAUCCCUCGUCAACUUGGAAAUCUCUCCCAGUUGCAGCAUCUUGAUCUCAGCGCCAAUCAUUUUGAAGGAAAUAUACCCUCUCAAAUUGGAAAUCUCUCCCAGUUGCUGCAUCUUGAUCUCAGCUACAAUUCUUUUGAAGGAAGUAUACCGUCCCAACUUGGGAACCUUUCAAAUUUGCAGAAGCUUUAUCUUGGAGGCGGUGCUCUCAAAAUUGACGAUGGAGAUCAUAGGCUGUCUAAUCUCAUUUCUUUAACCCAUCUUUCCGUGUUACAGAUGCCUAAUCUCAACACUUCUCAUAGCUUCCUCCAAAUGAUUGCCAAGCUACCAAAACUUAGAGAACUGAGUUUAAGUGAAUGUAGCCUUCCCGAUCAGUUUAUCCUUCCAUUGAGGCCCUCUAAAUUCAAUUUUUCUAGUUCCCUUUCCGUCCUUGAUCUUUCCUUCAACAGCCUCACGUCAUCAAUGAUACUCCAGUGGCUGUCCAACGUCACUUCCAACCUUGUUGAGCUUGACCUUAGUUAUAACCUCUUGGAGGGUUCCACAUCAAACCAUUUUGGCCGUGUAAUGAAUUCUCUUGAGCACCUCGACCUCUCAUAUAAUAUAUUCAAGGCUGACGAUUUCAAAUCCUUCGCGAAUAUAUGCACCUUACAUUCUUUAUACAUGCCAGCAAACCAUUUGACUGAAGACCUUCCAUCAAUCCUUCAUAAUUUGUCUAGUGGUUGUGUUAAACACUCAUUACAAGAUUUGGAUUUGUCAGAUAAUCAAAUCACUGGCUCUUUACCCGACCUUUCAGUAUUCUCAUCUCUAAAAUCAUUGUUUCUUGAUCAAAAUCAAUUAAGGGGAAAGAUACCUGAAGGCAUCCGCUUACCGUUUCAUUUGGAAUCUCUGUCAAUCCAAUCAAACUCUUUAGAAGGUGGAAUUCCCAAAUCAUUUGGGAACUCAUGUGCUUUGAGAUCACUGGAUAUGUCUGGUAACAAUUUGAAUAAAGAGCUUUCGGUGAUAAUUCAUCAAUUGUCUGGGUGUGCCAGAUUCUCGCUGCAAGAAUUGAACAUAGGAGGAAAUCAAAUCAAUGGUACGCUUUCUGACCUUUCAAUAUUCUCUGCCUUGAAAACAUUGGGUCUUUCACGAAAUCAAUUAAAUGGAAAAAUUCCAGAGAGUACCAAAUUGCCAUCUCUGUUAGAGUCUUUG
Molecule: long non-coding RNA, 41552 nt
Filed under: Glycine max (soybean)
Lineage: Eukaryota; Viridiplantae; Streptophyta; Magnoliopsida; Fabales; Fabaceae
Description: long non-coding RNA (GMAX_LNC003749)
Source: RNAcentral